This is a long non-coding RNA of Hibiscus syriacus, 382 nucleotides long. RefSeq lists it as uncharacterized. The record is from RefSeq and is a predicted model, not a curated record. The transcript has 3 exons. NCBI's taxonomy places the organism in Eukaryota, Viridiplantae, Streptophyta, Magnoliopsida, Malvales, Malvaceae.
CUAUGACCAAGAACCAAGCAGAGCCACGAGCCCUCUAUCUUCACUCUGUUUUGAUGCAUCGUUCAGGUUCUGCUUUAAUGCUUUCGCUCAUACACAGUGAGAUCCUGAAAAUGUUUCAAAUGUGGGGCCUUUUGGAAUUUGAUAUAGAGAUUUCCUUUCCUCGUGAUCAUGAUGGUCUUCCGAGAGCCUAUGAUAAGUAAAAGAGCAAAGAAUCUGAUCAGCCCCACAUAUUGACAGUACAAAUGUUAUCGGAAGAGGUUUUGAGUAAUUUGAAGGCUGCUUUCUGGCCAUUUCAACAAGAUCAUGCUGAUAGUUUAUUUUUAAGGGCAGCAGAUGCAGCUAACUGUGUAGACAGCUUUAAUUGAGUUAUUUAGUUUGUGAA